This 301-nucleotide ribosomal RNA is filed under the name uncultured bacterium. Its description in RNAcentral is "partial 16S ribosomal RNA". It matches the Rfam family "Bacterial small subunit ribosomal RNA", at positions 509 to 809 of the family's 1533-position model. The record is from RNAcentral.
CAGUAGCCGCGGGAAUACGAGGGGUGCAAGCGUUAUUCGGAUUGAUUGGGUGUAAAGGGUGUGCAGACGGCUUAUUAAGUCACUUGUUAAAUUCUUCGGCCUAACUGAAGGUCUGCAAGUGAUACUGAUGAGCUAGAGGGUGGAAGAGAGAAGUGGAAUUCCCGGAGUAGCGGUAAAAUGCGUAGAUCUCGAGAGGAACACCAAUGGCGAAGGCAGCUUCUUGGUCCAUUCCUGACGUUCAUACACGAAAGCGUGGGGAGCGAACAGGAUUAGAUACCCCAGUAGUCCCUGUCUCUUAUAA